CCUACGGGGGGCAGCAGUGGGGAAUAUUGCACAAUGGGGGAAACCCUGAUGCAGCGACGCCGCGUGAGUGAAGAAGUAUCUCGGUAUGUAAAGCUCUAUCAGCAGGGAAGAAAAUGACGGUACCUGACUAAGAAGCCCCGGCUAACUACGUGCCAGCAGCCGCGGUAAUACGUAGGGGGCAAGCGUUAUCCGGAUUUACUGGGUUUAAAGGGAGCGUAGACGGCAAUGCAAGUCUGAAGUGAAAUCCCAGGGCUUAACCCUGGAACUGCCUUGGAAACUGUGUAUUUGGAGUGCAGGAGAGGUAUGCGGAAUUCCUGGUGUAGCGGUGAAAUGCGUAGAUAUUAGGAGGAACUCCAGUGGCGAAGGCGGCUUACUGGACUGUAACUGACGUUGAGGCACGAAAGCGUGGGUAGCGAACAGGAUUAGAUACCCGUGUAGUC
RNAcentral lists this ribosomal RNA (440 nucleotides) under uncultured bacterium. Its description in RNAcentral is "partial 16S ribosomal RNA". It matches the Rfam family "Bacterial small subunit ribosomal RNA", at positions 338 to 795 of the family's 1533-position model. The record is from RNAcentral.